GACUUACGAGAGAGGUUCAGAAUAAGAUGGGGAGAUGGAGAGGGGGUUGGAUGGUGAGAGAGACAGGGAAAGAAAUUGAGAGAGGGAAAAACAGAGAAAGAGAAGGUUUCAGGAUGCAGAAAGAUUCUCAAAAGGAUGAACACGUGUAAAAGAUAGAGAGAGAUUUAGAAACAUACAGAGAGAGGGGAGACGUCUAGAGAGAGUGACACAGAUUUCAACCUGUGCAGACAUUUGCUUUGAGGGUUCGAGGAAUGUCUUAUCAUGCCAACACAACUCUGUAAUUUGAGUUGAUAAAAUCAACAGAGAGAAACAGACUUCCAUUGAAUAAAUAAAAACACAUUCAGGGCCAGGGCCCAAACUUUUUAGACCAAGAGAUUGAGAGCGGUGAACUUUUUUGCAAUUCCUACAAGAGAAAGCCAGAGAGAAUCUGCCGUGUUAUACUCACAAUCCUUCAACCACACUCAAUUCAGUCAUUCGUCACAAUCAAGAUGUUUCAGUUUACACAGGAGCGUGUGUGGGAGAGAUGGAGACAGAGAGAGAGACACAGAGAGAGAGAGAGAGAGAGAGAGAGAGAGAGAGAGAGAGAGAGAGAGAGAGAGAGAGAGAGAAUGUGAUGGAGACAGAGAGAGAGACACAGAGAGAGAGAGAGAGAGAGAGAGAGAGAGAGAGAGAGAGAGAGAGAGAGAGAGAGAGAGAGAGAGAGAGAGACAGAGAGAGAGAGAAUGAGAUGGAGACAGAGGUAGUUGCCAGGGGGUGAAUAAGAUAAAGCGAAUCAAAACGAGGUACAGAAAGAAUGGAUGAGACAGACAGAAAUGGAGAAAAGAUGGCGAGAGGCAGAUAUAGACGCAGAUAAGGGCGGAAAGACGAAAUAGGGACACGGAGAUAGAGUGUGCAUGACAAAGGACAGAAGAUGGAGAGAGAGAAAAAAAAGAGAGAGAGAGAGAGAGAGACAGGGAAUAUUGGCUCUCUCCACCUCCAUCUCUUCCCCACAUCCAGGCCUUGGCCAAGCCAGGCCAGGCAGCCCUCCAAGCAGGCAACACAGAGCAUGGAAGAGCCUGGUGGUGGUGGUGGUGGGCUGUGUGUGUGUGUGUGUGUGUGUGUGUGUGUGUGUGUGUGUGUGUGUGUGUGUGUGUGUGUUUGAGUGUGGUGGUGGGCUGUGUGUGUGUGUGUGUGUGUGUGUGUGUGUGUGUGUGUGUGUGUGUGUGUGUGUGUGUGUGUGUCCGCGUGUGUGUGUGUGGGUUGUGUGUGUGUGUGUGUGUGUGUGUGUGUGUGUGUGUGUGUGUGUGUGUGUGUGUGUGUGUGUGUGUGUGUGUGUGUGUGUGUGUGUGUGUGUGUGUGUGUGUGUGUAGCGCAGAGCAUCUCUCUAAGCUUCUCUGUGGUGGACGGUGGCCUUUGAAGCCUCCGGGAGACAGAUGUGGACGAGAUGAGGGACUAGCAGUUCUUUUUUUCAAAGGGGAAUGAGAUGGGGGCUUUUAUUUCGAACUCUGUGGCUAAUAUUUAGUAAUUUGUCUUCACUUGAGUCAUUUCCUCUGUACAUUCUUUCUUCAUGCUCCCUUUAAUUGACUGGACCUGACGUGCUGUAACAUUAUGGUUAGAGCUUAAUGCUCAGACUCUUUACAGAGUUUGAUGCAAGCAUGCACACACACACACACAAACACACACACACACACACAAGUACGCACACACACACACACCAUACAUACAUCCGUGCACACACACACACACACACACACACACACACACACAUACAUACAAGCAUGCACACACAUGCGCAGACACACAUAGACACACAUACACACAUCGACACACACACACACACACACACCCACACAACCACACUCACAAGCACUCAAAGUCACCCAAGCUCCUCAUUGCAACACUGUGUAACCAUGGUAAAUGUUUGGUGACUCACUGUAUUGUUGUGGUGAAAUGUGCCCAGAAACAAUAAACUGAAUGCUAAACCAGGCCUGUCGUCCAGCUAUUGAAGGGACAAACACACCCAAACACGCAAAAAUACACAAUCACACACGCACACACACUGACAAUUAAAGCCAUGCAGGAUAAAUUUAGUUAUUUAGCAGAUACUUUUAACAAAGCAACUUACAGUGAGUAGGAUAAAUGUCAUUAAGAAUCAGGUUGGGGUUAGACAGUGCAGAUACAUGUUAAUACGGAGCAGGUAGGGGAUAGAGAAUACAGAUGCAUACCAAUAAGGAACAGGUAGGGGUAAGACAGUACAGAUUCAGGUCAUUUAGGAGCAGGUAGGGGUAAGACAGUACAGAUUCAGAUCAUUAAGGAGCAGGUACGUGUUAGACAGUUCACAGACAGGUCAUCAAGUAGCAGGAAGGCCUUAGAAGCAUAGCUCAGGGAUUACUUAGUGUUAGACUGCAGACAUGGUAGACUCAAACCCAGUACCUCUGAUACAACAAUAAGGUUCAGAAGCCCAUUUUCCAGAAGCACAGACGGGCUGAAGUCAUUAGGGGACUCGGGUAGGUCGGUUGUUGGUGGUGGAGUUGGGAGGUUUGAGGCCGCUACUCAGAGGGUGGUGUGUGAUGGUCUGUUUCCUGGAGGUCCGUCUGAUUAAAGACAUGAACACGAGGCUUGCAUCUUCCCAGAGACUCAAUACCCCCCCGCCCCUCCUCGGCCUCCCCUAGUUGCCCUUGUUGCCCGCGGAAACGCUGACUCACCAGGAUAUCUCCGUGGCGAUGCAACCCUAACCCCUGUGUUAUUAUGAGAGGCAGGCAAGAGUCCCGGUCCUGGUGUUGGUGCAUGGUUGAGGAACAACUUGCAGACGGACGGGCAGAAUGAGUGACAGACAGAUGGCCGGACUGGCAGAUGGACAGCGAUAGCCAAAGAGAGAGAGGUUAGAGAAAGACUAGGGACAGAGAGAGAAAGACCUGCAGAUAGACAUACAGUACAACAAGCAGGCAAAUAGACAGAUUUCAACAAUUUCUCCCUGGGGAUCAAUAAAGUAUUUCUGAUUUCUGAUUCUGAUUGUCAGAGGAACAAGCAUAUAGAGAAACAGACAAGCAAGAGAGACAGGCAGACAAAUUGACAGAUAGACAGAUCGGUAGAUCUAUAUAUAUAUAGAUAGAUGAUUCUAGACUGUGGCCGGCGCCUACAAGACCAUAAUUCCCCCCCUCCAUGUUUUAACCCAAAUUGUUAUUUUUUCUACUGCUAGGAGGGAAUAAUUACAAUGUGUAAACCCACCACAACCACAGUCACACACACACACAAGCACUACACACAGGCAUUGAAGGAAAACACACACACACUUACACACACAUGCAAUCACACACUGUCCACCCACACACAUUAAUUGCCCACUAAUUCACCGAGAAUGAAGUACAUUUUACUGAUGCAUAAUCCAUGCCCCCCCGCGUUCACAUCUCAUUCAUGCUCAGGAGGGAACGCCCGUCUGAUGGAUUUAUAAUAAUUAUCUAUGUGUGGCAUCUUUACUUAUUAUUGUUCAGAUAGUCUCAUGGUUAAUGUAGAUUUGAUUCCACCAGAAAAUAAAGUCGAAGGUCCAAUGAAAUGUUACGUUUCAGAGAACAGUUGGGUAGCCAUCUUGGAUCUUUUUCUCCUGUUUCGGAGUGAGAUUUACAACGAGUACUGGGGGAAUGCUGACCCAGUUAGCCUAGCGUAGCCCAGCGUAGCCUGGCUAACCCCUGUCAGCGGCAGGCGGGAACUGCAGGCGCCGUACAGUUAAU
Molecule: long non-coding RNA, 3707 nt
Organism: Gadus macrocephalus (Pacific cod)
Lineage: Eukaryota; Metazoa; Chordata; Actinopteri; Gadiformes; Gadidae
Exons: 3
Source: RefSeq, a predicted model, not a curated record